Molecule: long non-coding RNA, 1188 nt
Organism: Rhipicephalus microplus (southern cattle tick)
Lineage: Eukaryota; Metazoa; Arthropoda; Arachnida; Ixodida; Ixodidae
Source: RefSeq, a predicted model, not a curated record
UCUUUUUGCGUUUUCUUAGGGAGAUUGUUCCACUUCAUAUGCCGUUGUGCUCCCAUCUACUAUAUUGUGCCGGUUACUUCUGGUACAGAACGCGGUUUUUGCGGAUGCAAGCGCAGUUAUCUUUAGUGCUUACUUCUAUAGAGUUGUAUCAGCAGCGCCAGGGAGGAGUGUUCAUGCUGCGAUGGAUGUACACACGAGUUUUUGAUAUUCUUUAACUCUCGGGUAUACCGUUAACACUCUCUCUUACUAUAUCGCAGUUCCUGUCCCUCGACUGCUUGCGUUACAUUUCUACGGUCACGCUUGGCCUCCCGUUCUGGUCUUCAAGCCUGGGCUUCAAUUAUGCUGACAUUAGAGAAUAUUGUGCAUGGAUCAUCCAUGGGCUUUGUGGUUAGGAUUGGUGCGUGUUGUGCAUAGACCAUUUUCCGCUCUUUCACGAGUCCUUCUCAUCUGCCUUACAGUUCCUGGUGGCGACACUCGUGAACUCGAGAUGACUGCCAUGUGUGUGUCCAUGUGUGGAUCCAUGUGUGGGUGCAGCCACGAAGCUGGUGUUCAAGUGCUGUCGAGGAAGUUCGUGUGUCAUCGGGAGAUGUGCGUUCAACUUCAUUGGCUGCUUAGAAACCUCUUGGUCCUCAACCUGUGCAACAUAUUUCCUUCACUUGCAUGAGGAGAGCCGACAUCUGACCUUGCAUAUUCCUACUGGUACUGGACGGGUCUCCCUGGUUGACAUUCUCUGAACACUGCCUCGCCUUCUCGACCUUCACUAUCAUCCGUUGGAUUAUCUGUGGAAGCCUGUGGCCAUGCCAUCCCUUCUUCCACAACCAGUCGUCUUCGGGUUCCUGCCUCUUGCUUGCCUUGUGUGGAAUGCGUCAUGCAGCACAGCCCAUCAAUGUGGCCUGCCCGUCUGCAUUCAGUUCGUUAAGGGACUCCCUUCUGUGUUGCUUCCCAUCACUGCACUGUUACCGAUGGCGGAUGAAGAGUAGGCGAUGGACUUCAUCUCACCUUGCCCCCGCGGGACAUGCCAGCAAUCUCCGGAUCCUCCCCGGGGCCCAUGAAAUAUUGUGAAACACUCACGUCGGCGUACGUCAGUGUUAUUGUACGGUGCCGUUCCAAGGAUAGCCUCAAAUCCUGCACAUUAUGUCAAACCUCUAAAUGUUACGCUGUUCGAUCGCCAUACAGAGAAUCUAGCGG